Mycena leptocephala is the source of this 95-nucleotide non-coding RNA. Lineage: Eukaryota; Fungi; Basidiomycota; Agaricomycetes; Agaricales; Mycenaceae. The record is from the annotation of a GenBank genome assembly.
GCCCUUGUGGAUCGUGGUAGAUCACCUUCAUCUAGUCCGACGUAGAACCUCUGAGCUUUAUGAAGACAUCGUGGGUUCGAAUCCUACCGAGGGCA